CGCUAGUAAUCGCGAAUCAGAAUGUCGCGGUGAAUACGUUCCCGGGUCUUGUACACACCGCCCGUCACACCAUGGGAGUUGGAAAUGCCCGAAGUCAGUGACCCAACCAAAAGGAGGGAGCUGCCGAAGGCAGGUUCGAUGACUGGGGUGAAGUCGUAACAAGGUAUC
Molecule: ribosomal RNA, 168 nt
Filed under: uncultured bacterium
Lineage: Bacteria
Description: partial 16S ribosomal RNA
Rfam family: Bacterial small subunit ribosomal RNA
Source: RNAcentral